AGAGCCUGUGUGCCUGGGAGCCUGGCAGCCUGGGAACCUGGCAGCCUGGGAUGCUAAGAGCCUGUGUGCCUAUGUGCCUGGGAGCCUGGGAACCUGGCAGCCUGGGAUUCUAAGAGCCUUUGUGCCUGGGAGCCUGUGUGCCUGGAACCUGGCAGCCUGGGAACCUGGAACCUGGCAGCCUGGGAUGCUAAGAGCCUGCGUGCCUAUGUGCCUGGCAGCCUGGGAACCUGGCAGCCUGGGAUUCUAAGAGCCUGUGUGCCUGGCAGCCUGGGAACCUAGCAGCCUGGGAUUCUAAGAGCCUUUGUGCCUGGGAACCUGGCAGCCUGAAAACCUGGCAGCCUGGGAUGCUAAGAGCCUGUGUGCCUAUGUGCCUGGCAGCCUGGGAACCUGGCAGCCUGGGAUUCUAAGAGCCUGUGUGCCUGGCAGCAUGGGAACCUGGCAGCCUGGGAUUCUAAGAGCCUUUGUGCCUGGGAACCUGGCAGCCUGGGAUUCUAAGAGCCUUUGUGCCUGGGAGCCUGUGUGCCUGGCAGCCUGGGAACCUGGGAUUCUAAGAGACUUUGUGCCUGGCAGCCUAUGUGCCUGGGAGCCUGGCAGCCUGGGAUUCUGAGAGCUUGGGACCCCAGUCUUGAACGAAACUUUGGUAUGGCUUCGUUGGCCUGCCCGCCAUGCGCUGUGUUGCACAGACAGGCUGGCAGGUGGAAUGCAGGACAAGGGCGUAACCGGGUGCGGGGCGUGGUGCCGUGUUGGGUCCUGGGGACAUGCGCAAGCUGUGCGCCAGCUCGGAUGCCAUACAAUGGCCUCUUUCCACCGCCAAAUGAUCAUUUACCCAGUAGAGCAUUCAUUGUGCCAUUCAGAGCCGACAAAGGGAUGGAACGACGUGUUGGGCGUGACGGUCAGUCUUUGCUGAAUCCCUUUCACUAAUGCCCAGUGCUUUUGGCCAUUGCAAUGACCUUAUUGCAUGAUUCAAUUGUUCCAGUGCGUUGGUGUUAUUUAAGCAGGUUACAUAAACAGGUCAUUAGAAUGUCCGCCGCGCGCCUUGGGAUGUUGUCUUUUUUCUUUCGAUUGCUUUCUCCUUUUAUGCUAGAAGCCUUUUGACUACGUGCGUCACAAUUUUGGGGUUAGUUUCUCCUGGCGAGUGUUUUGCGCGUUAAUUGCUUGCCAAGGAGUGCAAGCUGGAGCAUUAAUUAUUAGCGUCUCAUGAAUCAUCUACAUACAGAUGUUUUGGAGCUUUGGACCAUCGUUUCCAUGACCGUCCGCUAGGCGUCCGCUGGAACGGUCAGGAUGUACGGCGUUGCGGACAGGGGACCGUCCGCCGGCGGGGUAUAUGUAACUUUAUGUUUAACUCGGAGCCAUGGAAAGCUAUCUUCGCGCUCCGAUUUAUCUGGAAUGUCUCCUUUGGCAUUUCGAUAUAGAAGGGAUAUAGCAUUCAAACGCUAUUUUUUGCGGGGCGAGAUAUGUAAGCCACUGACUGACUGACUGACUGACAGCAGUGAACCCGGGGGGCUCGGCCCCCCGAAUGGCGCUUCGCGCCCGGGGCCUCGCCCCAAAAGAGCUGCUUCCCAGCCCCAACGAACAAGACCGCCGAGGCACUACCCCCAGGGGAAAAGGAGUCGGCCGCUGUCCCCUCCUGCUUGACACAGAGCCUGAACCGCCGAUACCUUGUAAGGGUACACACAGCAGUUGGUCU
RNAcentral lists this long non-coding RNA (1687 nucleotides) under Volvox carteri. RNAcentral describes it as "long non-coding RNA (VCAR_LNC003075)". Lineage: Eukaryota; Viridiplantae; Chlorophyta; Chlorophyceae; Chlamydomonadales; Volvocaceae. The record is from RNAcentral.